GACGAACGCUGGCGGCGUGCUUAACACAUGCAAGUCGAACGGAAAGGCCCUGCAUUUGUGGGGUGCUCGAGUGGCGAACGGGUGAGUAACACGUGAGUAACCUGCCCUUGACUUUGGGAUAACUUCAGGAAACUGGGGCUAAUACCGGAUAGGUGCUCCUGCUGCACGGUGGGGGUUGGAAAGUUUCGGCGGUUGGGGCUGGACUCGCGGCUUAUCAGCUUGUUGGUGGGGCAGUGGCUUACCAAGGCUUUGACGGGUAGCCGGCCUGAGAGGGUGACCGGCCACAUUGGGACUGAGAUACGGCCCAGUGUCCUACGGGAGGCAGCGGUGGGGAAUAUUGCACAAUGGGCGGAAGCCUGAUGCAGCAACGCCGCGUGCGGGAUGACGGCCUUCGGGUUGUAAACCGCUUUCGCCUGUGACGAAGCGUGAGUGACGGUAAUGGGUAAAGAAGCACCGGCUAACUACGUG
Molecule: ribosomal RNA, 468 nt
Filed under: uncultured bacterium
Lineage: Bacteria
Description: partial 16S ribosomal RNA
Rfam family: Bacterial small subunit ribosomal RNA
Source: RNAcentral